Molecule: ribosomal RNA, 867 nt
Filed under: uncultured bacterium
Lineage: Bacteria
Description: bacterial SSU rRNA
Rfam family: Bacterial small subunit ribosomal RNA
Source: RNAcentral
GAGCUUGCGCGUCUUACCAUGCAAGUCGAGCGGUAAGGCCUCUUCGGGGGUACACGAGCGGCGAACGGGUGAGUAACACGUGAGCAAUCUGCCCUUCACUUCGGGAUAACUCCGGGAAACCGGUGCUAAUACCGAAUAUGACCACUUCACGCAUGUGAUGGUGGUGGAAAGUUCUGGCGGUGGAGGAUGAGCUCGCGGCCUAUCAGCUUGUUGGUGGGGUAAUGGCCUACCAAGGCAACGACGGGUAGCCGGCCUGAGAGGGUGACCGGCCACACUGGGACUGAGACACGGCCCAGACUCCUACGGGAGGCAGCAGUGGGGAAUAUUGGACAAUGGGCGGAAGCCUGAUCCAGCAACGCCGCGUGAGGGAUGACUGCCUUCGGGUUGUAAACCUCUUUUACCUGUGACGAAGCGAGAGUGACGGUAGCAGGAGAAAAAGCACCGGCCAACUACGUGCCAGCAGCCGCGGUAAUACGUAGGGUGCGAGCGUUGUCCGGAAUUAUUGGGCGUAAAGGGCUCGUAGGCGGUUUGUCGCGUCGGGAGUGAAAACUCAGGGCUUAACCCUGAGCCUGCUUCCGAUACGGGCAGACUAGAGGUAUGCAGGGGAGAACGGAAUUCCUGGUGUAGCGGUGAAAUGCGCAGAUAUCAGGAGGAACACCGGUGGCGAAGGCGGUUCUCUGGGCAUUACCUGACGCUGAGGAGCGAAAGUGUGGGGAGCGAACAGGAUUAGAUACCCUGGUAGUCCACACCGUAAACGUUGGGCGCUAGGUGUGGGACUCAUUCCACGAGUUCCGUGCCGCAGCUAACGCAUUAAGCGCCCCGCCUGGGGAGUACGGCCGCAAGGCUAAAACUCAAAGGAAUUGACGG